This 2902-nucleotide ribosomal RNA is filed under the name Klebsiella pneumoniae. RNAcentral describes it as "23S ribosomal RNA". It matches the Rfam family "Bacterial large subunit ribosomal RNA". The record is from RNAcentral. Lineage: Bacteria; Pseudomonadati; Pseudomonadota; Gammaproteobacteria; Enterobacterales; Enterobacteriaceae.
GGUUAAGCGACUAAGCGUACACGGUGGAUGCCCUGGCAGUCAGAGGCGAUGAAGGACGUGCUAAUCUGCGAAAAGCGUCGGUAAGGUGAUAUGAACCGUUACAGCCGGCGAUGUCCGAAUGGGGAAACCCAGUGCAAUUCGUUGCACUAUCGUUAACUGAAUACAUAGGUUAACGAGGCGAACCGGGGGAACUGAAACAUCUAAGUACCCCGAGGAAAAGAAAUCAACCGAGAUUCCCCCAGUAGCGGCGAGCGAACGGGGAGCAGCCCAGAGUCUGAAUCAGCUUGUGUGUUAGUGGAACGGUCUGGAAAGUCCGACGGUACAGGGUGAUAGUCCCGUACACCAAAAUGCACAGGUUGUGAACUCGAAGAGUAGGGCGGGACACGUGGUAUCCUGUCUGAAUAUGGGGGGACCAUCCUCCAAGGCUAAAUACUCCUGACUGACCGAUAGUGAACCAGUACCGUGAGGGAAAGGCGAAAAGAACCCCGGCGAGGGGAGUGAAAAAGAACCUGAAACCGUGUACGUACAAGCAGUGGGAGCACCUUCGGGUGUGACUGCGUACCUUUUGUAUAAUGGGUCAGCGACUUAUAUUCUGUAGCAAGGUUAACCGUAUAGGGGAGCCGCAGGGAAACCGAGUCUUAACUGGGCGUUAAGUUGCAGGGUAUAGACCCGAAACCCGGUGAUCUAGCCAUGGGCAGGUUGAAGGUUGGGUAACACUAACUGGAGGACCGAACCGACUAAUGUUGAAAAAUUAGCGGAUGACUUGUGGCUGGGGGUGAAAGGCCAAUCAAACCGGGAGAUAGCUGGUUCUCCCCGAAAGCUAUUUAGGUAGCGCCUCGUGAACUCAUCUUCGGGGGUAGAGCACUGUUUCGGCUAGGGGGUCAUCCCGACUUACCAACCCGAUGCAAACUACGAAUACCGAAGAAUGUUAUCACGGGAGACACACGGCGGGUGCUAACGUCCGUCGUGAAGAGGGAAACAACCCAGACCGCCAGCUAAGGUCCCAAAGUCAUGGUUAAGUGGGAAACGAUGUGGGAAGGCACAGACAGCCAGGAUGUUGGCUUAGAAGCAGCCAUCAUUUAAAGAAAGCGUAAUAGCUCACUGGUCGAGUCGGCCUGCGCGGAAGAUGUAACGGGGCUAAACCAUGCACCGAAGCUGCGGCAGCGACACUAUGUGUUGUUGGGUAGGGGAGCGUUCUGUAAGCCUGCGAAGGUGGCCUGUGAGGGUUGCUGGAGGUAUCAGAAGUGCGAAUGCUGACAUAAGUAACGAUAAAGCGGGUGAAAAGCCCGCUCGCCGGAAGACCAAGGGUUCCUGUCCAACGUUAAUCGGGGCAGGGUGAGUCGACCCCUAAGGCGAGGCCGAAAGGCGUAGUCGAUGGGAAACAGGUUAAUAUUCCUGUACUUGGUGUUACUGCGAAGGGGGGACGGAGAAGGCUAUGUUAGCCGGGCGACGGUUGUCCCGGUUUAAGCAUGUAGGCUGGUUGUCCAGGCAAAUCCGGAUAAUCAAGGCUGAGGUGUGAUGACGAGGCACUACGGUGCUGAAGUAACAAAUGCCCUGCUUCCAGGAAAAGCCUCUAAGCAUCAGGUAACAUCAAAUCGUACCCCAAACCGACACAGGUGGUCAGGUAGAGAAUACCAAGGCGCUUGAGAGAACUCGGGUGAAGGAACUAGGCAAAAUGGUGCCGUAACUUCGGGAGAAGGCACGCUGGUGUGUAGGUGAAGCCCCUGCGGGUGGAGCUGAGACCAGUCGAAGAUACCAGCUGGCUGCAACUGUUUAUUAAAAACACAGCACUGUGCAAACACGAAAGUGGACGUAUACGGUGUGACGCCUGCCCGGUGCCGGAAGGUUAAUUGAUGGGGUUAUCCGUAAGGAGAAGCUCUUGAUCGAAGCCCCGGUAAACGGCGGCCGUAACUAUAACGGUCCUAAGGUAGCGAAAUUCCUUGUCGGGUAAGUUCCGACCUGCACGAAUGGCGUAAUGAUGGCCAGGCUGUCUCCACCCGAGACUCAGUGAAAUUGAACUCGCUGUGAAGAUGCAGUGUACCCGCGGCAAGACGGAAAGACCCCGUGAACCUUUACUAUAGCUUGACACUGAACAUUGAGCCUUGAUGUGUAGGAUAGGUGGGAGGCUUUGAAGCGUGGACGCCAGUCUGCGUGGAGCCAACCUUGAAAUACCACCCUUUAAUGUUUGAUGUUCUAACGUUGGCCCCUUACCGGGGUUGCGGACAGUGUCUGGUGGGUAGUUUGACUGGGGCGGUCUCCUCCCAAAGCGUAACGGAGGAGCACGAAGGUUAGCUAAUCCUGGUCGGACAUCAGGAGGUUAGUGCAAUGGCAUAAGCUAGCUUGACUGCGAGCGUGACGGCGCGAGCAGGUGCGAAAGCAGGUCAUAGUGAUCCGGUGGUUCUGAAUGGAAGGGCCAUCGCUCAACGGAUAAAAGGUACUCCGGGGAUAACAGGCUGAUACCGCCCAAGAGUUCAUAUCGACGGCGGUGUUUGGCACCUCGAUGUCGGCUCAUCACAUCCUGGGGCUGAAGUAGGUCCCAAGGGUAUGGCUGUUCGCCAUUUAAAGUGGUACGCGAGCUGGGUUUAGAACGUCGUGAGACAGUUCGGUCCCUAUCUGCCGUGGGCGCUGGAGAAUUGAGGGGGGCUGCUCCUAGUACGAGAGGACCGGAGUGGACGCAUCACUGGUGUUCGGGUUGUCAUGCCAAUGGCACUGCCCGGUAGCUAAAUGCGGAAGAGAUAAGUGCUGAAAGCAUCUAAGCACGAAACUUGCCCCGAGAUGAGUUCUCCCUGAGACUUUAAGUCUCCUGAAGGAACGUUGAAGACGACGACGUUGAUAGGCCGGGUGUGUAAGCGCAGCGAUGCGUUGAGCUAACCGGUACUAAUGAACCGUGAGGCUUAACCUU